Molecule: non-coding RNA, 2611 nt
Organism: Cricetulus griseus (Chinese hamster)
Lineage: Eukaryota; Metazoa; Chordata; Mammalia; Rodentia; Cricetidae
Source: RefSeq, a predicted model, not a curated record
UGUGUGUGUGUGUGUGUGUGUGUGUGUGUGUGUGUGUGUGUGUGUGUGUGUGUGUAGGGGGGAGAGAUGAAUUACUAGUUCUUGGCUUGACUUUGCUAUGGUUGGAUAAUACACUUUCUAUGAUUUUUACUCUCUGGAAUUUGUUGAAUUUAUCUUAUGGUUCAAGAUACAAUCUGUUUUGAUUUGUGUUUCAUUAGCACUUUAAACUGUCCACUCCACUGCUUGUGGGUGUUCUUUUGUUAGAUUGCUGUAUGAAUUAUUGGGAGAGGGACUCAAGUCUUCAACUAUAACUGCCUUGGUCUACUUGUUUCUUUUCUAUGAUUUUACUUAUUUAUUUCUAUUGUGCGCGUAUGUGUUGGGGAGGGGAUGCUCAUGUCAAAGCAUAUGCGUAGAGGUCAGAGGACAACUGGUGAAAUUGGUUCUAUUUCUUUCAUCAUUAUGGGCAUCCUAGGGGUUGAACUCAGAUGGCCAGGCUUGUGAGGCAAGUACCUUUGCCUACUGAGCUAGCUUGCCAGCCCCAUCAGCUGUAUGCUGCAACUCUGGUGUGUGGUAUAAGCACAUUUAGAGUUGCUGAAUGGUUGGGUCCUGCUGUUUGGUAUCUUAAAUCCAAGAUGGAAAUUCCUUCCUAUUAGUAUCUUUAGACUAUUUACAUUUAGUGUAAUUAUUUCUGUGUAAGGAUGUAUGUAUGCCAUUUCCCUUUCUGCAUUGUUUGUUGCAUUUGUACUUCCCACAGCGUGCUUGAAUAUUUUCUAUAAUUCCAUUUCUGUUUAGUGUCAGUCAUCUAAGUAAUGUAAAUUUAGUGUAAGAAUAUGAAUCACAUUGUUAGUAUUUACAUUUUCUCACAGGUGAAUUUUCCUCUGUGGUCUGCUCAGCACCAAGACUGUUUUCCCUAAAGUGCUUUGGGUGUAAAGCAGGAAAUGUGGCGGCUCAUUUGGGGACAAGAAGGUUUCAGAGAUGUGGAGAGAGUCUUCAAGAAGAGUCUCCCUCUUGGGAGGUCUCUGUUCUCUACAUGCUCAAAUCUGCACAGUCUGCUGUCCUUGAGGCACUGAUGGUUUUCAUACUUUGUUGUUGAUCAGGACCCACUUUCCCUUAUAUUUUAGGAUUUAAAUUUUCUUGCAGCUUUGUUUUGAACAGGAAUUGGUUUUGAUGACUUUGUUCCCCAGGUUCCUAAAAGUAGAAGAUUUGGAUCCUUUGCUUUGCUUCUCCCUCAGGAUAGAGCUGAGAAUUUUGUUCGGUGUAGUUUAUUUUUGUAAAAUACCGAGGAAAUAUGAGAUUUGAGUGGGGUUGGUUGGAAAAAGAAAGAGAAGACAGAAGACCUGGUCUGAGAUACCCCACUGAUCUGGAUUUCACUGUAGGAGGUGGGGGCUCAGCUGUGCCAAGGAUCCUCAGCAGCCAUGGAGACUGGCUCAGAAUUGUCCCACUGUGGGACCUGGAGGAGCAGGUUGAUCAGAAUUGCCCCAGAAGCUGAGUAGGCACCAAUGUCAAGACUUGGACUUCCCAGCCUCCAGAAUCACAAGCCAAAUGAACUUUUCUUCUUUAUAAAUGACCUCGUUACAGCAAUUCACCCAAGCUCUGUGUGUAACCACCCCCAACAAAACCUGAACAUCAUACAGAGGUCUCUGAGUCCACACCCGACAGCCAGGCCCUGGGUCUUCACCAUCUCCUUCGUUUUCACCAUCUUACAGACACACCCUCAUGUGGGCCACAGCUUUAGACACAAAAGCAAUGGAGGCACAAACUAAAACUUCUUAGGGUUGUAAGCCAAGGUGUUUUGUCUUUCAAGUCAUUUCUCCUCUUUUUGUUUGUUUGCUCGUUUGUUCAUUCAUUUGUUACAGUAAGUGAAAUGAACAUACUUUGGUUCCUAGGCCCAGAUUUCUACAACUAGCAAUGUGUGGAGAAUCAAAUGUAUGUCUCUCAUCCUUUCUCGUCCCCUUUAGAGUGACAAGACAUUUCAUUUCUGCAACCCACUGGGCUUUCUGACAACAUAGAGAUGAAAACAGAGGGGCAACGGCAGGGCUGUGUGGGCCUCUUUAUUGUUCCUGGGUGUGGGGCAUUACACACAGCGUGUGGCAGUCACUUAGCUGGUAAAAUAUCUCAAUAAAUAAACAAAUAAGCAACAUAUACACUGAACAGGGAAUAUAAAAGAAUGGCUAGCUGAGCAGGCCAUGAAGAAAUAAAGAGCAGGAGUGUGCCAGCAAGAAUUCCAGGCUUCCUCGGAACAGCCAUGGGAGGUCUGGGGCGGGAGGGGUCUUGGGUUCUUGUUCUAAGAGCCUUGGUCCAGUUUAAACAGGUUCUACAAGAAUGCAUGUCGGUUUUAUUUAAAAAUAUACAUUUAAAAAGGCACUUAGAGGGAAAUACAAAUCCAAUAUAUCCUUACAAAUGCACUCUUGAAUCUAGAGCUUUCCAGAAAGAUUCCCCCAAACUAAAACCCAGGAGGAUAAUCCAAUGAUGAGGACACAAAAGUCACUGGCAGGCAGGCAGGCAGGCAGGCUGGUGCCCAUCCCAUGGGGCAUCUCUGGGAAGGAUGUGAACCUGGGUCUGCUGUCCUGCGCCACUGUUGUCCCCUCUGAACACUCAGCUGGGGCACUGGGGGCUUGAAGAGCCACGAGGU